GACGAACGCUGGCGGCGUGCUUAACACAUGCAAGUCGAACGGAAAGGCCCUGCUUUUGUGGGGUGCUCGAGUGGCGAACGGGUGAGUAACACGUGAGUAACCUGCCCUUGACUUUGGGAUAACUUCAGGAAACUGGGGCUAAUACCGGAUAGGAGCUCCUGCUGCAUGGUGGGGGUUGGAAAGUUUCGGCGGUUGGGGAUGGACUCGCGGCUUAUCAGCUUGUUGGUGGGGUAGUGGCUUACCAAGGCUUUGACGGGUAGCCGGCCUGAGAGGGUGACCGGCCACAUGGGGACGGGGAUACGGCCCAGACUCCUACGGGGGGCAGCAGUGGGGAAUAUUGAACAAUGGGCGGAAGCCUGAUGCAGAAACGCCGCGUGCGGGAUGACGGCCUUCGGGUUGUAAACCGCUUUCGCCUGUGACGAAGCGUGAUGGACGGUAAUGGGUAAAGAAGCACCGGCGACCUACGU
RNAcentral lists this ribosomal RNA (467 nucleotides) under uncultured bacterium. RNAcentral's name for it is "partial 16S ribosomal RNA". It matches the Rfam family "Bacterial small subunit ribosomal RNA", at positions 28 to 506 of the family's 1533-position model. The record is from RNAcentral.